GGCCAGACGGUCGCAUGGCGCCCGCGUAUUACGCGGGAAUGAAUGAGGAAAGUCCGGGCUCCACAGGGCAAGGAUGCCGAGAUAACGUCCGGCGUAGGUAACUAUAGGGAAAGUGCAACAGAAACAUACCGCCGAAACGGGUCAUGCCGUGGCAAGGUUGAAAUGGCGAGGUAAGAGCUCACCGGCGCCGUGGUGACACGGCGGCCGUGUAAACCCCAUCCGGAGCAAGGUCGGGGGACAUGAAGGGGCGGCCCGUCCCUGUCCCGUUAGCGGACCGCAUGAGCGAGCAGUGAUGUUUCGCCUAGAUAGAUGAUCGUCUAAUACAGAACCCGGCUUACAGACCUGCCCAA
This 350-nucleotide RNase P RNA is filed under the name bovine gut metagenome. RNAcentral's name for it is "Bacterial RNase P class A". It matches the Rfam family "Bacterial RNase P class A". From Rfam's summary of the family: Ribonuclease P (RNase P) is a ubiquitous endoribonuclease, found in archaea, bacteria and eukarya as well as chloroplasts and mitochondria. Its best characterised activity is the generation of mature 5'-ends of tRNAs by cleaving the 5'-leader elements of precursor-tRNAs. The record is from RNAcentral.